This 528-nucleotide ribosomal RNA is filed under the name uncultured bacterium. RNAcentral's name for it is "bacterial SSU rRNA". It matches the Rfam family "Bacterial small subunit ribosomal RNA", at positions 23 to 518 of the family's 1533-position model. The record is from RNAcentral.
CUCAGGACGACGCUGGCGGCGUGCCUAAUACAUGCAAGUCGAACGGUCUUUCUAUGGAAGCUUGCUUCCACUGAGAAGAAUAGUGGCGAAACGGGGUGAGGUAACAACGUGGGUAACCUACCCAUAAGAGGGGGAUAACAUCCGGAAACGGGUGCUAAUACCGCAUAGUUUUCUUGAUCGCAUGAUCGGGAAAGGAAAGACGGCCUUUGUGCUGUCGCUUAUGGAUGGACCCGCGGCGUAUUAGUUAGUUGGUGAGGUAACGGCUCACCAAGACGAUGAUACGUAGCCGACCUGAGAGGGUGAUCGGCCACAUUGGGACUGAGACACGGCCCAAACUCCUACGGGAGGCAGCAGUAGGGAAUCUUCCGCAAUGGACGAAAGUCUGACGGAGCAACGCCGCGUGAGUGAAGAAAAGGGUUUUCGGAUCGUAAAACUCUGUUGUCAGAGAAGAACAAGUUGGAGAGUAACUGCUCCAGCCUUGACGGUAUCUGACCAGAAAGCCACGGCUAACUACGUGCCAGCCGCCGC